GCGGAUGUAGUUUAAUGGUAAAAUCUAAGCUUCCCAAGCUUAUGUCGCGGGUUCGAUUCCCGUCAUCCGCU
RNAcentral lists this transfer RNA (71 nucleotides) under Lactobacillus sp. S2-2. RNAcentral describes it as "tRNA-Gly". It matches the Rfam family "tRNA". From Rfam's summary of the family: Transfer RNA (tRNA) molecules are approximately 80 nucleotides in length. Their secondary structure includes four short double-helical elements and three loops (D, anti-codon, and T loops). The record is from RNAcentral. Lineage: Bacteria; Bacillati; Bacillota; Bacilli; Lactobacillales; Lactobacillaceae.